UACAGAGGUGGCAAGCGUUGUUCGGAAUUACUGGGCGUAAAGGGCGCGUAGGCGGCCAUCUAAGUCAGACGUGAAAUCCCCCGGCUUAACCUGGGAACUGCGUCUGAUACUGGACGGCUUGAGUAUGGGAGAGGGAUGUAGAAUUCCAGGUGUAGCGGUGAAAUGCGUAGAUAUCUGGAGGAAUACCGGUGGCGAAGGCGGCAUCCUGGGCUAACACUGACGCUCAUGCACGAAAGCGUGGGGAGCAAACAGG
This 253-nucleotide ribosomal RNA is filed under the name uncultured bacterium. RNAcentral describes it as "partial 16S ribosomal RNA". It matches the Rfam family "Bacterial small subunit ribosomal RNA", at positions 524 to 776 of the family's 1533-position model. The record is from RNAcentral.